Molecule: ribosomal RNA, 508 nt
Filed under: uncultured bacterium
Lineage: Bacteria
Description: bacterial SSU rRNA
Rfam family: Bacterial small subunit ribosomal RNA
Source: RNAcentral
CAGGUCUUGACAUCCUCUGACACUCCUAGAGAUAGGACGUUCCCCUUCGGGGGACAGAGUGACAGGUGGUGCAUGGUUGUCGUCAGCUCGUGUCGUGAGAUGUUGGGUUAAGUCCCGCAACGAGCGCAACCCUUGAUCUUAGUUGCCAGCAUUCAGUUGGGCACUCUAAGGUGACUGCCGGUGACAAACCGGAGGAAGGUGGGGAUGACGUCAAAUCAUCAUGCCCCUUAUGACCUGGGCUACACACGUGCUACAAUGGAUGGUACAAAGGGCUGCAAGACCGCGAGGUUUAGCCAAUCCCAUAAAACCAUUCUCAGUUCGGAUUGCAGGCUGCAACUCGCCUGCAUGAAGCCGGAAUCGCUAGUAAUCGCGGAUCAGCAUGCCGCGGUGAAUACGUUCCCGGGCCUUGUACACACCGCCCGUCACACCACGAGAGUUUGUAACACCCGAAGUCGGUGGGGUAACCGUAAGGAGCCAGCCGCCUAAGGUGGGACAGAUGAUUGGGGUG